Arachis duranensis is the source of this 1396-nucleotide RNA transcript. RefSeq lists it as uncharacterized. NCBI's taxonomy places the organism in Eukaryota, Viridiplantae, Streptophyta, Magnoliopsida, Fabales, Fabaceae. The record is from RefSeq and is a predicted model, not a curated record. The transcript has 5 exons.
UUUUCCCCCCAACCCUAACGGCGCCUAAGCCUAACCCUAUCAGCCCUCCGCCAGUCCGCCUCACCUCACUCACCCAGCCCCCAGCCCCCAGCCGCCCGCCGUCAUCCUCUUCGUCUCACCGCCGGUCUGAACUCUGAAGGAACCGACUCAACCAAGGGAGUAGGAACAGGACAGAUACAGACCCGCCACCCGCGAACUCGCCGUUGCCGCGAAGUCGCCGUUGCCGCGAACUCGCCGUUGCCGCGAACUCGCCGUUGCCGCGCAGUCGAACUCGCCGUUCCAGCGCCGUCGCCCUCGCCCUCGCCCAGUCGCCAUUGCUUUUCCGAUCGAACUCGCCGUUGCCUCGCCCUUCUACUCUGUGACUCUGUCAAACAGUGUUUGUGAAAUUCAGGGCAUGGAUUGAAUCUAUGUGUAGUUCGAACUAGCCCUACUUGAGCAUUUCCUUUGGAUGGUAAAUGACUGGUUUUGUUUAUCAGUUUAUAAGAGUUUAUCAAUUAAAAAUAUUAUCAGUUGGCAUCACUUUUGGCGGUCCGGCAAUACUCCGCUAUAAGGAUCGAUUUAAAGAAGCUGUCUUCUUGGCUUUUGACUCACCAUCCUGGAAGGUUAAUGGGGCUGCUGAUCAUCUUCUACGAUCCCUUCUUGGAAGUUAGGUUCAUUAUUAUCCAAUAGAUCAGAUCUCAAGUUUCAAGUGUCUUCUUCUCUGCUUCAAGCCUUCAACCCUCUCAGUCAGGUCAUGACAAAGAGCAAGGCAAUGGGUAUCCAUAUAAUCAACGAAGUCACAGAGCAAAUCAUGACAGAAACCUUAUAUGGUGAUAGUCGUAGGCUGCAGCAAGUCUUGGCUGACUUCUUAUUGAGUUGCAUCAAUUUUACGCCAACCAGAGGUCAAGUUGUUGUUGCAGCCUCUUUAACGAAAGAUCAAUUAGGCAAAUCAGUUCAUUUGGCUUACUUGGAGAUAAGCAUAACACAUGAUGGUGUUGGUGUUCCGGAAACACUGCUGAACAAAAUGUUCGGACGAGACGGACAAGAAUCCGAGGAGGGUAUUAGUCUGCUCAUCAGCAGAAAGUUGCUGAAGCUCAUGAAUGGAGACGUGCGGUAUCUGAGAGAAGCUGGCUAAUCAUCUUUCAUCUUAACAGUUGAACUGGCUGCUUCCCAGAAAUUGAUUGCUUAAAGUUAUAGGAAAUAAAGAAAUACUAUCAGUUUUUGUGCAUCAGAAAAGCAAGUGUGCAAGAAAUCACUUUUCUUGUACAACAUACCUUAAGAGUAAGAGUAACAUAGUCUCAAGUCUUAACGCUUCUGUAACUCCUUGUACGGUACGGUGUAUAUAUGUAUGAAUCUUCACGUUAUUCAGCUAUUCACAUAAACUAUUAUAUAUUUAUAUUACUUACUCUUCCUGCAA